UGACGGCCAGUGAUGAUGAGCAUUUUUUCAUAUGUCGGUGGGCUGCAUAAAUGUCUUCUUUUGAGAAGUGUCUGUUCAUAUCCUGUGCCCACUUUUUGAUGGGGUUGUUUUUUUCUUGCAAAUUUGUUUAAGUUCUUUGUAGAUUCUGGAUAUUAGCCCUUUGUCAGACGGAUAGAUUGCAAAAAAUUUCUCCCAUUCUAUGGGUUACCUGUUCACUCUGAUGAUAGUUUCUUUUGCUGUGCAGAAGCUCUUUAGUUUAGAUCCCAUUUGUCAAUUUUGGCUUUUGUUGUGCAGAAGCUCUUUAGUUUAGAUCCCAUUUGUCAAUUUUGGCUUUUGUUGCCAUUGCUUUUGGUGUUUUAGACAUGAAGUCCUAGCCCAUGCCUAUGUCCUGAAUGGUAUUGCCUAGGUUUUCUUCUAGGGUUUUUAUGGUUUUAGGUCUAACAUUUAAGUCUCUAAUCCAUCUUGAAUUAAUUUUCAUAUAAGGAGUAAGGAAAGGAUCCAGUUUCAGCUUUCUACUUAUGGCUAGCCAAUUUUCCCAGCACCAUUUAUUAAAUAGGGAAUCCUUUCCCCAUUUCUUGUUUUUGUCAGGUUUGCCAAAGAUCAGAUGGCUGUAGAUGUGUGGUAUUAUUUCUGAGGGCUCUGUUCUGUUCCUUUGGUCUAUAUCUCUGUUUUGGCUGUUUUGGUUAGUGUAGCCUUGCAAUAUA
This 704-nucleotide long non-coding RNA is filed under the name Papio anubis (olive baboon). Its description in RNAcentral is "lncRNA (ENSPANG00000047536.1)". Lineage: Eukaryota; Metazoa; Chordata; Mammalia; Primates; Cercopithecidae. The record is from RNAcentral.